CUUUAGCAAUCGGAAGUUCCGAUACGGUAUCGUAUCUCUAGCCACGUCGAAAUAACUAUGGAUCUCGGCUACCCAUCACUUCAUCCAACACAUGAGGGAGGUGUUCAGAUCCACCAUGACAAGUCUAAUUACGGUGUACCUGAUCUGCUGACAUAUGGCCUGGCUCCUGUAUAUAUCA
Anneissia japonica is the source of this 178-nucleotide long non-coding RNA. RefSeq lists it as uncharacterized. NCBI's taxonomy places the organism in Eukaryota, Metazoa, Echinodermata, Crinoidea, Comatulida, Comatulidae. The record is from RefSeq and is a predicted model, not a curated record. The transcript has 3 exons.